AUGGCUGUCGUCAGCUCGUGUCGUGAGAUGUUGGGUUAAGUCCCGCAACGAGCGCAACCCCCGUCGCAUGUUGCCAGCAUUUAGUUGGGGACUCAUGCGAGACUGCCGGUGACAAACCGGAGGAAGGUGGGGAUGACGUCAAGUCCUCAUGCCCCUUAUGUUCAGGGCUACACACGUGCUACAUUGGCGCAUACAGAGGGCUGCGAUACCGCGAGGUGGAGCGAAUCCCUUAAAGUGCGUCUCGGUUCGGAUUGCAGGCUGAAAUUCGCCUGCAUGAAGGCGGAGUUGCUAGUAAUCGCGGAUCAGCAUUGCCGCGGUGAAUACGUUCCCGGGCCUUGUACACACCGCUCGUCACACCACGGGAGUGAGCAACACCCGAAGCCGGUGGCCUAACCCGCAAGGGAGGGAGCCGUCGAAGGUGGGGCUCGUGACUGGGGUGAAGUCGUAACAAGGUAGCCGUAGCGGAAGCUGCGGCUGGAUCACCUCCUUUCUAGGGAGCACAUAACAGUGCCCCGAUCCAGGAGGCCGCCUGUACCCCGUUAGGGGUAUCGCAGACAGCCCCGCGCGGUCGCCAGGUCCUUGAGGCCAACGGCGAUGUCCAAGCGGAUCGGGCCUAGCAUGUCGACCGAACCUGGCUGGAAGGCCGUGUGCCAGCGGCUCCUGCACUACUUCGGGAGCUCGUCGGAACACGACCAUCAACUACCCCAGCAUGCUGUUGAGUUUUGAGAGACCGGCGUCCGCCGGUCAUUGCGUGGACACGCCAGAUAUGGCGCGACCGAAAUACGCGAUACCGGCCGGCGUUAUACGCCUCUCCACGGUCCUUGAAAACUGCACAAUGCCACAUCAGCCGCCAUCGAUAAGCGGCGGCUGAAAAACGGGUAUCACCGGGCCCUGCAAGACCUAUAUGCUCAGCAAUGGGCGUCGGGUCGCGUUGGGCCAGAUCACCGUCAAGAUAGUAAGGGCGCAUGGUGGAUGCCUUGGCACCAAGAGUCGAUGAAGGGCGUGAACGGCUGCGAUAAGCCACGGUUAGGCGCUGAAUAGCCUUUGACCCGUGGAUGCCCGAAUGGGGAAACCCGG
Molecule: small RNA, 1077 nt
Filed under: uncultured Solirubrobacterales bacterium
Lineage: Bacteria; Bacillati; Actinomycetota; Thermoleophilia; Solirubrobacterales
Description: bacterial SSU rRNA
Rfam family: Bacterial small subunit ribosomal RNA (bases 1-490)
Source: RNAcentral